Molecule: ribosomal RNA, 204 nt
Filed under: uncultured bacterium
Lineage: Bacteria
Description: partial 16S ribosomal RNA
Rfam family: Bacterial small subunit ribosomal RNA
Source: RNAcentral
CAACCCAAGCAGUGGAGUAUGUGGUUUAAUUCGACGCGACGAGAAGAACCUUGUCAAGUCUUGCCAUCAAGGAAGGAGAGUUACAAUAGGUUUCUCUUUCGGAAACAGAGACAGGUGGUGCAUGGUUGUCGUCAGCUCGUGUCGUGAGAUGUUGGGUUAAGUCCCGCAACGAGCGCAACCCUUAUGGAUCAGUGCUACGCAAGA